GGUUCGAUUCUGGCUCAGAUUGAACGCUGGCGGGGAUGCUUUACACAUGCAAGUCGAACGGCAGCACGGACUUCGGUCUGGUGGCGAGUGGCGAACGGGUGAGUAAUGUAUCGGAACGUGCCUAGUAGCGGGGGAUAACUACGGCGAAAGCGUGCAGCGUAAUACCGCAUACGCCCUUCGGGGGAAAGUGGGGACCUUCACCGCACUAUUAGGAGCGGCCGAUAUCGGAUUAGCUAGUUGGUGGGGUAACGGCUCACCAAGGCGACGAUCCGUAGCUGGUUUGAGAGGACGACCAGCCACACUGGGACUGAGACACGGCCCAGACUCCUACGGAGGCAGCAGUGGGGAAUUUUGGACAAUGGGGGAACCCGAUCCAGCCAUCCCGCGUGUGCGAUGAAGGCCUUCGGGUUGUAAAGCACUUUUGGCAGGAAGAAACGGCACGGAUAAUACCCCGUGCAACUGACGGUACCUGCAGAAUAAGCACCGGCUAACUACGUGCCAGCAGCCGCGGUAAUACGUAGGGUGCAAGCGAGAACGGAAUUACUGGGCGUAGCGUGCGCAGGCGGUUCGGAAAGAAAGAUGUGAAAUCCCCAGAGCUUAACUUUGGAACUGCAUUUUUAACUACCGAGCUAGAGUGUGUCAGAGGGAGGUGGAAUUCCGCGUGUAGCAGUGAAAUGCGUAGAUAUGCGGAGGAACACCGAUGGCGAAGGCAGCCUCCUGGGAUAACACUGACGCUCAUGCACGAAAGCGUGGGGAGCAAAAAAGGAUUAGAUACCCUGGUAGUCCACGCCCUAAACGAUGUCAACUAGCUGUUGGGGCCUUCGGGCCUUGGUAAAGCAGCUAACGCGUGAAGUUGACCGCCUGGGGAGUACGGUCGCAAGAUUAAAACUCAAAGGAAUUGACGGGACCCGCACAAGCGGUGGAUGAUGUGGGAUUAACUAGAUGCAAACGCGAAAAACCUUACCUACCCUUGACAUGUCUGGAAUCCCGAAGAGAUUUUGGGAGUGCUCGCAAGAGAACCGGAACACAGGUGCUGCAUGGCUGUCAGCCUUCGUGUCGUGGAUGUUGGGUUAAGUCCCGCAACGAGCGCAACCCUUGUCAUUAGUUGCUACGAAAGCGGCACUCUAAUGAGACUGCCGGUGACAAACCGGAGGAAGGUGGGGAUGACGUCAAGUCCUCAUGGCCUCUUAUGGGUAGGGCUUCACACGUCAUACAAUGGUCGGGACAGACGCUAACCCGCGAGGGGAGCCAUCCCCAGAAACCCGAUCGUAGUCCGGAUCGCAGUCUGCAACUCGACUGCGUGAAGUCGGAAUCGCUAGUAAUCGCGGAUCAGCAUGUCGCGGUGAAUACGUUCCCGGGUCUUGUACACACCGCCCGUCACACCAUGGGAGUGGGUUUUACCAGAAGUAGUUAGCCUAACCGUAAGGAGGGCGAUUACCACGGUAGGAUUCAUGACUGGGGUGAAGUCGUAACAAGGUAGCUCAGCCACUCGAUGC
Molecule: ribosomal RNA, 1496 nt
Filed under: uncultured Bordetella sp.
Lineage: Bacteria; Pseudomonadati; Pseudomonadota; Betaproteobacteria; Burkholderiales; Alcaligenaceae
Description: partial 16S-23S ribosomal RNA intergenic spacer
Rfam family: Bacterial small subunit ribosomal RNA
Source: RNAcentral